RNAcentral lists this long non-coding RNA (754 nucleotides) under Felis catus (domestic cat). RNAcentral describes it as "lncRNA (ENSFCAG00000045626.2)". The record is from RNAcentral. Lineage: Eukaryota; Metazoa; Chordata; Mammalia; Carnivora; Felidae.
AUAUGAAUGGGAGCGGGCAGCUGUGGAUGGCCAAAGCAGGGCCACUGGAAGUAAAGCUGGCAUUGACAAGGGCAGACAGGUGCAGAAGGAAACCUGGUUUUGGAUGACAUUGGUCCCUGGACUGGAGAGAGCUCAAGCCCUGGCUGCAAAUCGUUUGCCUUGAAGAGACAUAAAUGAGAACCACAACUGCCAGAAAAUAAGGAGUGGCAGGAAGUUGUUGGAGAGGAUGCUUGGAUGGUCAUUCCUCCUCUCAGCCAGUAGUGAGCCUUUUGAUAAACACUACAGAUUGCUCCGGAUGAAUGCUAUGGAGAUGCCGAAGACUGUCCGACAAUUUCUUUUAAAGUCGGAUAUUCAAUUGCGAAAGAUGUUCGAACAAUCUAAUGAUGGAUGUUCAUUAGUUCACUGCUGUCAAGAUGAGUUGCUACUCUGCAUCUCUGAUACUGAUCGUGUUUCUGCAGUCAUGAUUGAGCUGUUGAAGAAAAAACACUCCAAAGAACUCUCUCGACUGUGUCCAAGCCAGCACCAACUUGAAAUAUCAUUGGCUUACGCAGCAACAUCAAAACCCACAAAGCGAAUAGAUUAGAUCCAUCCCAGAGACUUUUCUCCAGCUGUAAAUGGAUUUGCCCUCUUUAGAGCGGGGAACAGAGUUCCAACACAAUUUUUCUUAUUAGAACAGACUAAGGAAUUUACUUCAAAUGGGGCUGCUGGUUGUCCUGUGGAAGCUGUGUCAGAAUAAAUAUUCAGCUACUCUUCA